GUCUUAUUGAUUUUUAAUUUUAAGUCUGUCCUGCUCAAUGAUUUUUAAUUAAAUAGCUGCGGUAUUAUAAUCGUACAAAGGUAGCAUAAUAAUUUGUCUUUUAAUUGGAGGCUAGUAUGAAGGGUUUGAUGAGAAAUAAUCUUUUUUAAUUUUAAUUUUUGAAUUUAAUUUUUUAGUUAAAAAGCUAAAAUUUUUUUAUGGGACGAGAAGACCCUAUAGAAUUUUAUCAUUUUUUUCUUUUUUAUAAUUUUUGUUAAUGUUUUAUUUUAUUUAUAUUUUGAUUUUGUUGGGGUGAUAUAAAAAUUUAAUUGACUUUUUAUUAUUUUUUCAUUAAUUUAUGUUUUAUUUGAUCCUGAUUUUUUUAGAUUAUAAGAUUAAUAUUACCUUAGGGAUAACAGCGUUAUUUUUUUGGAGAGUUCUAAUCGAUAAAAAAGUUUGCGA
RNAcentral lists this ribosomal RNA (441 nucleotides) under Mesovelia amoena. RNAcentral describes it as "partial 16S ribosomal RNA". Lineage: Eukaryota; Metazoa; Arthropoda; Insecta; Hemiptera; Mesoveliidae. The record is from RNAcentral.